AUACGGAGGGUGCAAGCGUUGUUCGGAAUAACUGGGCGUAAAGGGCGCGCAGGCGGUUGGAUAAGUCAGAUGUGAAAUCCCUGGGCUCAACCCAGGAAGUGCAUUUGAAACUGUCCAUCUUGAGUACGGGAGAGGGAAGCGGAAUUCCGAGUGUAGAGGUGAAAUUCGUAGAUAUUCGGAGGAACACCGGUGGCGAAGGCGGCUUCCUGGACCGAUACUGACGCUGAGGCGCGAAAGCGUGGGGAGCAAACAGGAUUAGAUACCCAAGUAGUCC
This 274-nucleotide ribosomal RNA is filed under the name uncultured bacterium. RNAcentral describes it as "partial 16S ribosomal RNA". It matches the Rfam family "Bacterial small subunit ribosomal RNA", at positions 523 to 796 of the family's 1533-position model. The record is from RNAcentral.